UUGAAAGGGAAACGAUUGAAGUCAGUCGUACCGACGGAAAAUCAACUUCUCGGGUGCCAAUCGUGGGUGACGUUGAGCCUCACGGUCUUCGUCGCUUGUGUUGUUGGUAUCUUUGGAGUGUAUUUUUUCGUACGGUAGGUCAACAUCGAUUUUGAUCGUCAUAAAAUGAUCGGAGGAAUGUAGCUUUGAUUUCGAUCGAAGUGUUAUAGCCUUUGGUAGAUGUGACGAUUGGGAUCGAGGAUUGCAACGAAUACCCUUUGGGCUAUCCGUCUGGCCUCUGAAAGUCGCUUGGGAGUCGAAAGCUUGCUUAUGACUAUUCAAGUUGGCGGCCAACAGGUUAGAACGCGAUUACAUUCGUUAAGGAUGUUGACGUA
This 374-nucleotide ribosomal RNA is filed under the name uncultured fungus. RNAcentral's name for it is "eukaryotic LSU rRNA". Lineage: Eukaryota; Fungi. The record is from RNAcentral.